AUUGAACGCUGGCGGCAUGCCUUACACAUGCAAGUCGAACGGCAGCGUGGGCUUCGGCCUGGCGGCGAGUGGCGAACGGGUGAGUAAUACAUCGGAACGUGCCCAGUAGUGGGGGAUAGCUUGGCGAAAGCCGGACUAAUACCGCAUACGACCUGAGGGUGAAAGCGGGGGAUCUUCGGACCUCGCGCUAUUUGAGCGGCCGAUGGCAGAUUAGCUAGUUGGUGGGGUAAAGGCCUACCAAGGCGACGAUCCGUAGCUGGUCUGAGAGGACGACCAGCCACACUGGAACUGAGACACGGCCCAGACUCCUACGGGAGGCAGCAGUGGGGAAUUUUGGACAAUGGGCGAAAGCCUGAUCCAGCAAUGCCGCGUGUGUGAUGAAGGCCUUCGGGUUGUAAAGCACUUUUGGCGGGAACGAAAAGGACUGUGCCAAUACCACGGUUUGAUGACGGUACCCGCAGAAUAAGCACCGGCUAACUACGUG
RNAcentral lists this ribosomal RNA (484 nucleotides) under uncultured bacterium. RNAcentral describes it as "partial 16S ribosomal RNA". It matches the Rfam family "Bacterial small subunit ribosomal RNA", at positions 30 to 507 of the family's 1533-position model. The record is from RNAcentral.